This 459-nucleotide ribosomal RNA is filed under the name Triticum aestivum (bread wheat). RNAcentral describes it as "partial small subunit ribosomal RNA". The record is from RNAcentral. Lineage: Eukaryota; Viridiplantae; Streptophyta; Magnoliopsida; Poales; Poaceae.
AAAAUCCAGGGAUGGUCAGAGAGGUUACUAGCUUGUGCGGGGCGCGAUACUUUGUUAAAAUCAGUAGCCCAAGAUAUUCCCACAUAUCCUAUGAGUACCUUUCUGCUUACCAAGAAAGUUUGCAAGAGUCUAACUUUACCCAUGGUCAAAUACUUUUGGAGUAGUUCUCUUGACAAGAAAUCUAUGCAUUGAGUGUCUUGGAAAGAAUCGACGACACCCAAGUGUAAGGGGGGAAUGGGUUUCAAAGAUCCUCAUCUAUUCAAUCUUGCAAUGUUGGGAAAGCAUGGUUGGCGGUUUUCGACAAAUCCAAAUUCCCUGUGUGCAAGAGUGUUGAAAGGAGCCCUCUGUGCCCAAGUUGGCCUCCGCCACUUGGAAGGCGAUCAUAGCAGGAAGGGAAGCUCUAUGACCCAGUUUGAUAACUCUUGUUGGAGAUGGCAGUUCUAUCUCGGUCUGGACUGA